GACGAACGCUGGCGGCGUGCCUAAUACAUGCAAGUAGAACGCUGAAGAGAGGAGCUUGCUCUUCUUGGAUGAGUUGCGAACGGGUGAGUAACGCGUAGGUAACCUGCCUUGUAGCGGGGGAUAACUAUUGGAAACGAUAGCUAAUACCGCAUAACAAUGGAUGACACAUGUCAUUUAUUUGAAAGGGGCAAUUGCUCCACUACAAGAUGGACCUGCGUUGUAUUAGCUAGUAGGUGAGGUAAUGGCUCACCUAGGCGACGAUACAUAGCCGACCUGAGAGGGUGAUCGGCCACACUGGGACUGAGACACGGCCCAGACUCCUACGGGAGGCAGCAGUAGGGAAUCUUCGGCAAUGGGGGCAACCCUGACCGAGCAACGCGGCGUGAGUGAAGAAGGUUUUCGGAUCGUAAAGCUCUGUUGUAAGUCAAGAACGGGUGUGAGAGUGGAAAGUUCACACUGUGACGGUAGCUUACCAGAAAGGGACGGCUAACUACGU
This 496-nucleotide ribosomal RNA is filed under the name uncultured bacterium. Its description in RNAcentral is "partial 16S ribosomal RNA". It matches the Rfam family "Bacterial small subunit ribosomal RNA", at positions 28 to 506 of the family's 1533-position model. The record is from RNAcentral.